This 489-nucleotide ribosomal RNA is filed under the name uncultured bacterium. RNAcentral describes it as "partial 16S ribosomal RNA". It matches the Rfam family "Bacterial small subunit ribosomal RNA", at positions 30 to 507 of the family's 1533-position model. The record is from RNAcentral.
AUUGAACGCUGGCGGCAGGCCUAACACAUGCAAGUCGAACGGUAACAGGAAGAAGCUUGCUUCUUUGCUGACGAGUGGCGGACGGGUGAGUAAUGUCUGGGAAACUGCCUGAUGGAGGGGGAUAACUACUGGAAACGGUAGCUAAUACCGCAUAACGUCGCAAGACCAAAAAGGGGGACCUUCGGGCCUCUUGCCAUCGGAUGUGCCCAGAUGGGAUUAGCUAGUAGGUGGGGUAACGGCUCACCUAGGCGACGAUCCCUAGCUGGUCUGAGAGGAUGACCAGCCACACUGGAACUGAGACACGGUCCAGACUCCUACGGGAGGCAGCAGUGGGGAAUAUUGCACAAUGGGCGCAAGCCUGAUGCAGCAUGCCGCGUGUAUGAAGAAGGCCUUCGGGUUGUAAAGUACUUUCAGCGGGGAGGAAGGGAGUAAAGUUAAUACCUUUGCUCAUUGACGUUACCCGCAGAAGAAGCACCGGCUAACUCCGUG